UACGGAGGGUGCAAGCGUUAUCCGGAUUUAUUGGGUUUAAAGGGUCCGUAGGCGGACUUAUAAGUCAGUGGUGAAAGCCUGUCGCUUAACGAUAGAACUGCCAUUGAUACUGUAAGUCUUGAGUAUAUUUGAGGUAGCUGGAAUAAGUAGUGUAGCGGUGAAAUGCAUAGAUAUUACUUAGAACACCAAUUGCGAAGGCAGGUUACCAAGAUAUAACUGACGCUGAGGGACGAAAGCGUGGGGAGCGAACAGGAUUAGAUACCCUGGUAGUCCACGCCGUAAACGAUGCUAACUCGUUUUUGGGCUUUAGGGUUCAGAGACCAAGCGAAAGUGAUAAGUUAGCCACCUGGGGAGUACGCUCGCAAGAGUG
Molecule: ribosomal RNA, 370 nt
Filed under: uncultured bacterium
Lineage: Bacteria
Description: bacterial SSU rRNA
Rfam family: Bacterial small subunit ribosomal RNA
Source: RNAcentral